RNAcentral lists this ribosomal RNA (468 nucleotides) under uncultured bacterium. Its description in RNAcentral is "partial 16S ribosomal RNA". It matches the Rfam family "Bacterial small subunit ribosomal RNA", at positions 28 to 507 of the family's 1533-position model. The record is from RNAcentral.
GACGAACGCUGGCGGCGUGCUUAACACAUGCAAGUCGAACGGAAAGGCCCUGCUUUUGUGGGGUGCUCGAGUGGCGAACGGGUGAGUAACACGUGAGUAACCUGCCCUUGACUGUGGGAUAACUUCAGGAAACUGGGGCUAAUACCGGAUAGGAGCUCCUGCUGCAUGGUGGGGGUUGGAAAGAUUCGGCGGUUGGGGAUGGACUCGCGGCUUAUCAGCUUGUUGGUGGGGUAGUGGCUUACCAAGCCUUUGACGGGUAGCCGGCCUGAGAGGGUGACCGGCCACAUUGGGACUGAGAUACGGCCCAGACUCCUACGGGAGGCAGAAGUCGGGAAUAUUGCACAAUGGGCGGAAGCCUGAUGCAGCAACGCCGCGUGCGGGAUGACGGCCUUCGGGUUGUAAACCGCUUUCGCCUGUGACGAAGCGUGAGUGACGGUAAUGGGUAAAGAAGCACCGGCUAACUACGUG